AUUGAACGCUGGUGGCAUGCCUUACACAUGCAAGUCGAACGGCAGCACGGGAGCAAUCCUGGUGGCGAGUGGCGAACGGGUGAGUAAUGUAUCGGAACGUGCCCAGUCGUGGGGGAUAACGUAGCGAAAGCUACGCUAAUACCGCAUACGAUCUAUGGAUGAAAGCGGGGGAUCGCAAGACCUCGCGCGAUUGGAGCGGCCGAUAUCAGAUUAGGUAGUUGGUGGGGUAAAGGCUCACCAAGCCGACGAUCUGUAGCUGGUCUGAGAGGCACGACCAGCCACACUGGGACUGAGACACGGCCCAGACUCCUACGGGAGGCAGCAGUGGGGAAUUUUGGACAAUGGGCGCAAGCCUGAUCCAGCAAUGCCGCGUGCAGGAUGAAGGCCUUCGGGUUGUAAGCUGCUUUUGUACGGAACGAAACGGUGAGCUCUAAUACAGUUUGCUAAUGACGGUACCGUAAGAAUAAGCACCGGCUAACUACGUGCCAGCAGCCGCCGUAA
This 501-nucleotide ribosomal RNA is filed under the name uncultured bacterium. RNAcentral describes it as "partial 16S ribosomal RNA". It matches the Rfam family "Bacterial small subunit ribosomal RNA", at positions 30 to 523 of the family's 1533-position model. The record is from RNAcentral.